UUUAUAUCAAUUAUAUAAAUCAAAACAUAAAGGUUAUUCCUGAUUAAUUUUUUGAAUUAUUUUAUAAUUAAAGGCGUUAAGAAACCUUUGGUGACCCCACAGUUUAAAUGUCUAUCGUAGGUACAUCAUGAACAGUGGUCGUUACAGACAAACGUUCACGUAAAUUGUCCCAGUCAAUGGAUGAAUUUAAUGUGUCAAUCAAUGGCCACAGCCACACUGUUUUGAAUUUUAUUCUAUAUAUUGCAUUUGACAAACAAUUUAUAUUACUUUGUUGGAUUUUUUUCACUGGUAGAAAGAUAGAUGCAACCCUUCAAAAUUCAUCAUUUCAAAUGAAGUUCAAAAGUUAUUUAGAAUUUUUCAAAUGCAAAUUGGGUUCUUGGUGCAUUUAAGUUUAUUUGACUCGAGACUCGCUUAUUGCAAUAUUCUUGUAAAAAUUAAAAACAUCCAUUUAAAUGUUCGUACAGCUGUCGAAAUCUUUAUAAAAGAAGUACCAGUAUUGAAAAAUAGAGAAUUUGUAACUAGAUGGUGAAAAAAACCUAAAAAAGUAGUGUCAUAUGACCAUAAUCUGCUCAAGUUGAAUUCCCAAAGAUUUUUUUUAACAGUAAAUAUAUUAUUUUUUCUGAAAUUAUUAAACUAGAUAGAUCAAUGUAAUAAUUAUUUCAGCAUAAUAUAAAACUCAGAAUCAGGUUGUUCCCAGUUCCCAAUUUUUAUACAUGUUCUAGUGCUAGAGUAAUAUUUUUAUAUUAUUUUUUUUCUGUUGUUUGUUAUUUAGUAAAAGUUAUAUGGUUUUAUCUGUAAAUUCUAAAAAAAAAAUAUGUUGGUGCGGUUUUAAGUGACGAAUGAAUUUUAUUGAAUCAUGAACUUAAGAACUUGGAUGUGUGAAAUUCAGAUCAUGGGUGAAAAUUGAAAGAUUAAACAUUUCCAUCAAAUGGAUAUGUAUGAACUAGACUUGUGUGUAUCAGAAUGGAUCGAAUCUGUACGGGUGACAAAAACGCGAACUCGAACAAAAUGUGUGGAUCUUAGGAUGGACUGGAUCGAAUCGUGUGUGGAUUUGCUGCAGACUGAAUUGAACUGUAUGGAUUAAACUGUUAUCUGUUAUUUUGUGUGAACUGAAUUUGUGUGAUUUUUGAAUGAAUUGUUAUUUUUGGUUGAUUCUUUGAUUUAAUGAAAUUAUUUUUCAAAAAAAUUAUGAAAUGUGUGAAAAAUCAUGAUUUAUUCAUUAUCCCACCAUCAGCUUCAUGUUUAAUUUUUCAAAGCCUAAAGUCAUUAUUUUAUUUUUUGCUUUAACAUAAAUAAUUCAAAAAUACACAAUUUUGCUUAAUGUUUACAGUUUACACAGCAUUAAAUACAUAAGUAGCAUAUCAAAAUGAAUUUUUUAAAUUGGGAGGGAAGGGCUCUGAAGAUUAUUCGAAAGAGACUAGUUAAUAAUGUUAAGUAUAAGUAUUAAAAUAAAUUUUGUUAAUUUAUUCCUUCUUGGAAACAAAAAUUAAUUUGCUUUGACUCAUCGUAACUUAUAUAAAUUAACUUGGAUGUGAUUUUGUGAAUGUGGUGUGAAUAAAAAUAUAUAUCAAACAAAGUAUACUUGCGUUGUAUGUAUGAAGUUUGCCAGAAGAUGAAAGAUGGUGUCUGUUUUGUUUCAAACAGCAGACUUCUGAAACAUGAAAUUGGUGUGUUUUACAUGGGAGUGGUUGGGGAAGAAUUUGGAAAAGAAAUCAUCUACAUUGAAAAGCUAACUGAGCUAUCAUUACACAUGUAUACUAACAUGUUUUGUUCAAUGACUUAGAGUAUUUAAAGAACCAACGCUUAAAAUAUAUUUUUUCAAUUUUUUGGGGUUUACAUUUUCAAAAUUUUAAGCUUGAUAAUGUAAAAAUACUCAUGUAAACUGCAUAAAAGUCUGUUGUUUGAAACAAUUUGGAUGAAUGUGGAUUCUUAUUAUGAAAGAUAUUCACAUGGUCUCAAAUUAACUAUCCAAUGAGUUUACAUGUGUCAAAAUGUCUAUCUAUCACUUAUUGAUAUGUUUUAUAUGGG
RNAcentral lists this long non-coding RNA (2028 nucleotides) under Mytilus galloprovincialis (Mediterranean mussel). The record is from RNAcentral. Lineage: Eukaryota; Metazoa; Mollusca; Bivalvia; Mytilida; Mytilidae.